ACUUCUCCCACAGUGCACACAGUGCCUAGGCAGUGUGGAAGGAGGUAGUGCUGAGUCUGUUGCUCCUGGGUGGCUGUGAAGUUCUGCUGUGUCUCAACACUUCUUUUGCACAAGGUUCUGAGCUCCAUCCCCUCAUGGUCCCUAUAUCCAAGGCUGCCCUGGACAUUCACCCCUUCGACUAGACCUGGUUAUAAGAUCCAGCAGCACCCCUCUGCUCGUUGGCUCUGAGUGUGGCUUGCAGCUGCGUGGGCUCAUCGAGUGUGACAGUCAUCCAACUAAAGAACGGGGCCGUAUAUGACAUGACAACUCCAUACAAAGGCAGCGCAUCGUGUGGCCAAGACCCUCCCUGACACCACCCACUCCAGGGCGUUGAGAAGCCUGAUCCUGCUCACCACAAGCCACCAGCAUCACUGUAGCACAUGCAGAUCCAGACUAAACAGCCCUUGAAGAAGAUAUUCUGAAGGAGUUUUCCCAUGACAAAUAUCUGUUGGGUUUUCCUUCUGAAGACAGAAGUACAUUUUACAAUGAAAACAUGAGUUCAUCGUUGGAGUCACCAUCAGAGAGUUCGUGCUGCCCAGGAGAAUGACCUGACUGUGCUGAGGCUGAGCAUCUCCUCCUGCCUUGCAGUAACGUGGAGCUCCUACACAGGUAUUUAAUAUUUUCAGCUGGAAAAGAUUCAAAAGAGGGUUACACUGCUAGAGGAUGUGAAGUCAGAUGCAAAGGAAGGAAAGACCUGGUGGUCUGCAUUUCUUUGCUGACAGAGACAUCUCUGAGCUGAUUGCUAUCUACAGCUCAUUUCAAUUUGCCCUUUGAAAGAGAUCAGAGAACAUUAUCAACUCCUUCUCAGCUGUUGUACUUCCUCUGAAGUCUGGAUGUAGCUGGUGGCCUCACUCUCUUCUCAGUCUUUUUGGGGUUUGUUUUUUUGACUGAUGCAUUGAUUUGGUCAUUUGAUGUCCUGUGGUAUCAGUGAGGCUGAAGGAACCCUUCUUCUUCCUGAAUGCUUCCUAAGAUUGUUUGACUUGGAUUAGAGGUUACUUUAUUUGCCUACUGAAA
Molecule: long non-coding RNA, 1053 nt
Organism: Pogoniulus pusillus (Red-fronted tinkerbird)
Lineage: Eukaryota; Metazoa; Chordata; Aves; Piciformes; Lybiidae
Exons: 4
Source: RefSeq, a predicted model, not a curated record